UGACUCGGAUCAGGUAGGAUACCGCUGAACUUAGCA
This 36-nucleotide ribosomal RNA is filed under the name Neonectria lugdunensis. Its description in RNAcentral is "partial 28S ribosomal RNA". Lineage: Eukaryota; Fungi; Ascomycota; Sordariomycetes; Hypocreales; Nectriaceae. The record is from RNAcentral.